RNAcentral lists this ribosomal RNA (310 nucleotides) under uncultured bacterium. Its description in RNAcentral is "partial 16S ribosomal RNA". It matches the Rfam family "Bacterial small subunit ribosomal RNA", at positions 503 to 810 of the family's 1533-position model. The record is from RNAcentral.
AAGAGACAGCAGCCGCGGGAAUACGAAGGGUGCAAGCGUUACUCGGAAUUACUGGGCGUAAAGCGUGCGUAGGUGGUGGUUUAAGUCCGUUGUGAAAGCCCUGGGCUCAACCUGGGAAUUGCAGUGGAUACUGGGUCACUAGAGUGUGGUAGAGGAUAGUGGAAUUUCCGGUGUAGCAGUGAAAUGCGUAGAGAUCGGAAGGAACAUCUGUGGCGAAGGCGACUAUCUGGGCCAACACUGACACUGAGGCACGAAAGCGUGGGGAGCAAACAGGAUUAGAUACCCCUGUAGUCCCUGUCUCUUAUACACA